Small nucleolar RNA from Heterocephalus glaber (naked mole-rat), 123 nucleotides. NCBI's taxonomy places the organism in Eukaryota, Metazoa, Chordata, Mammalia, Rodentia, Bathyergidae. The record is from Ensembl.
AAAGCUUUACCGACCAAUUAUGUUGACUGGUGCGAUCCAGUGGUGAGCUGACAGUGACCCCAGCUAAGAGAACAAGAUUGUUCUCUAUGUGGAUGACUCUGUGCCAAAAGCGUGGAAACACCC